RNAcentral lists this ribosomal RNA (660 nucleotides) under uncultured bacterium. Its description in RNAcentral is "bacterial SSU rRNA". It matches the Rfam family "Bacterial small subunit ribosomal RNA", at positions 48 to 713 of the family's 1533-position model. The record is from RNAcentral.
GCUAUACAUGCAAGUCGAACGGUUGGUAGCAAUACCAAUAGUGGCGCACGGGUGCGUAACGCGUAACCAACCUACCCGAAUCUGGGGGAUAGCCCGCCGAAAGGCGGAUUAAUACCGCAUAAAACUGCAGCACGGCAUCGUGUAACAGUUAAAGAUUUAUUGGAUUCGGAUGGGGUUGCGUGCCAUUAGCUAGUUGGCGGGGUAACGGCCCACCAAGGCGACGAUGGCUAGGGGAGCUGAGAGGCUGGUCCCCCACACGGGCACUGAGAUACGGGCCCGACUCCUACGGGAGGCAGCAGUAGGGAAUAUUGGGCAAUGGACGAGGGUCUGACCCAGCCAUGCCGCGUGCAGGAUGAAGGCUUUCUGAGUCGUAAACUGCUUUUACCAGGGAAAAAAAAAGGGGAUGCGUCCUCUACUGACGGUACCUGGUGAAUAAGCACCGGCUAACUCCGUGCCAGCAGCCGCGGUAAUACGGAGGGUGCAAGCGUUGUCCGGAUUUAUUGGGUUUAAAGGGUGCGUAGGCGGCUGAUUAAGUCUGGGGUGAAAGCCCGUUGCUCAACAACGGAACUGCCCUGGAAACUGGUUAGCUUGAGUACAGACGAGGGUGGCGGAAUGGAUACUGUAGCGGUGAAAUGCAUAGAUAGUAUCCAGAACCCCGAU